GGGAAUGUGGCUUAGUGGUAGAGUGCUUGCCUAACAUGCAUGAGGUCCUGGGUUCGAUUCCUUAGUACCA
RNAcentral lists this transfer RNA (70 nucleotides) under Dipodomys ordii (Ord's kangaroo rat). It matches the Rfam family "tRNA". From Rfam's summary of the family: Transfer RNA (tRNA) molecules are approximately 80 nucleotides in length. Their secondary structure includes four short double-helical elements and three loops (D, anti-codon, and T loops). The record is from Rfam by way of RNAcentral. Lineage: Eukaryota; Metazoa; Chordata; Mammalia; Rodentia; Heteromyidae.